Molecule: ribosomal RNA, 429 nt
Filed under: Bacteroidota bacterium
Lineage: Bacteria; Pseudomonadati; Bacteroidota
Description: Bacteroidetes bacterium partial 16S ribosomal RNA
Rfam family: Bacterial small subunit ribosomal RNA
Source: RNAcentral
UAGGGAAUCUUCGGCAAUGGGGGGAACCCUGACCGAGCAACGCCGCGUGAGUGAAGAAGGUUUUCGGAUCGUAAAGCUCUGUUGUUAAGGAAGAACGAGUGUGAGAAUGGAAAGUUCAUACUGUGACGGUACUUAACCAGAAAGGGACGGCUAACUACGUGCCAGCAGCCGCGGUAAUACGUAGGUCCCGAGCGUUGUCCGGAUUUAUUGGGCGUAAAGCGAGCGCAGGCGGUUAGAUAAGUCUGAAGUUAAAGGCAGUUGCUCAACCAUUGUAGGCUUUGGAAACUGUUUAACUUGAGUGCAGAAGGGGAGAGUGGAAUUCCAUGUGUAGCGGUGAAAUGCGUAGAUAUAUGGAGGAACACCAGUGGCGAAGGCGACUCUCUGGUCUGUAACUGACGCUGAGGCUCGAAAGCGUGGGUAGCAAACAGG